GAGUUUGGAUCAUGGCUCAGAUUGAACGCUGGCGGCAGGCCUAACACAUGCAAGUCGAGCGGUUGAAGGGAGCUUGCUCCCUGAUUCAGCGGCGGACGGGUGAGUAAUGCCUAGGAAUCUGCCUGGUAGUGGGGGACAACGUUUCGAAAGGAACGCUAAUACCGCAUACGUCCUACGGGAGAAAGCAGGGGACCUUCGGGCCUUGCGCUAUCAGAUGAGCCUAGGUCGGAUUAGCUAGUUGGUGAGGUAAUGGCUCACCAAGGCGACGAUCCGUAACUGGUCUGAGAGGAUGAUCAGUCACACUGGAACUGAGACACGGUCCAGACUCCUACGGGAGGCAGCAGUGGGGAAUAUUGGACAAUGGGCGAAAGCCUGAUCCAGCCAUGCCGCGUGUGUGAAGAAGGUCUUCGGAUUGUAAAGCACUUUAAGUUGGGAGGAAGGGCAGUAAGCGAAUACCUUGCUGUUUUGACGUUACCGACAGAAUAAGCACCGGCUAACUCUGUGCCAGCAGCCGCGGUAAUACAGAGGGUGCAAGCGUUAAUCGGAAUUACUGGGCGUAAAGCGCGCGUAGGUGGUUUGUUAAGUUGGAUGUGAAAUCCCCGGGCUCAACCUGGGAACUGCAUCCAAAACUGGCAAGCUAGAGUAGGGCAGAGGGUGGUGGAAUUUCCUGUGUAGCGGUGAAAUGCGUAGAUAUAGGAAGGAACACCAGUGGCGAAGGCGACCACCUGGGCUCAUAC
Molecule: ribosomal RNA, 737 nt
Filed under: bacterium Ips_3
Lineage: Bacteria
Description: bacterial SSU rRNA
Rfam family: Bacterial small subunit ribosomal RNA
Source: RNAcentral